GGUCUUACCAUGCAGUCGAACGGUGAAAGAGAGCUUGCUCUCUGGAUCAGUGGCGAACGGGUGAGUAACACGUGAGCAAUCUGCCCCUGACUCUGGGAUAAGCGCUGGAAACGGCGUCUAAUACCGGAUACGAGCUGCGAAGGCAUCUUCAGCAGCUGGAAAGAACUUCGGUCAGGGAUGAGCUCGCGGCCUAUCAGCUAGUUGGUGAGGUAAUGGCUCACCAAGGCGUCGACGGGUAGCCGGCCUGAGAGGGUGACCGGCCACACUGGGACUGAGACACGGCCCAGACUCCUACGGGAGGCAGCAGUGGGGAAUAUUGCACAAUGGGCGCAAGCCUGAUGCAGCAACGCCGCGUGAGGGACGACGGCCUUCGGGUUGUAAACCUCUUUUAGCAAGGAAGAAGCGAAAGUGACGGUACUUGCAGAAAAAGCGCCGGCUAACUACGUGCCAGCAGCCGCGGUAAUACGUAGGGCGCAAGCGUUAUCCGGAAUUAUUGGGCGUAAAGAGCUCGUAGGCGGUUUGUCGCGUCUGCUGUGAAAACCCGAGGCUCAACCUCGGGCCUGCAGUGGGUACGGGCAGACUAGAGUGCGGUAGGGGAGAUUGGAAUUCCUGGUGUAGCGGUGGAAUGCGCAGAUAUCAGGAGGAACACCGAUGGCGAAGGCAGAUCUCUGGGCCGUAACUGACGCUGAGGAGCGAAAGGGUGGGGAGCAAACAGGCUUAGAUACCCUGGUAGUCCACCCCGUAAACGUUGGGAACUAGUUGUGGGGUCCAUUCCACGGAUUCCGUGACGCAGCUAACGCAUUAAGUUCCCCGCCUGGGGAGUACGGCCGCAAGGCUAAAACUCAAAGGAAUUGACGGGGACCCGCACAAGCGGCGGAGCAUGCGGAUUAAUUCGAUGCAACGCGAAGAACCUUACCAAGGCUUGACAUAUACGAGAACGGGCCAGAAAUGGUCAACUCUUUGGACCCUCGUAAACAGGUGGUGCAUGGUUGUCGUCAGCUCGUGUCCUGAAAUGUUGGGUUAAGUCCCGCAACGAGCGCAACCUCGGUCA
Molecule: ribosomal RNA, 1051 nt
Filed under: Microbacterium sp.
Lineage: Bacteria; Bacillati; Actinomycetota; Actinomycetes; Micrococcales; Microbacteriaceae
Description: bacterial SSU rRNA
Rfam family: Bacterial small subunit ribosomal RNA
Source: RNAcentral